GGUUCAGGGGUGGGGUGAGUGGGGAUUGAGAGAGAGAAUGUGUGAGAGUAAGAGAGUGAGAGAAAGGAGAUUGGGGGUGAUGGUAACUGGAGUGGUUUCCGUUUUGGGACGAAGACGGAGAGAGAGAUGGGUGGUCAAAGUGGAGGAAGGGGCAGACGGAGCGUACCAGACAGUCGAAAAGACGGCAGACAAUGGGAGGAAGGAGAAGGCUCUGGAUCUGGUUAUUAUUACCCUAGUCGCCAGUGUCAUUGGCGACUCUCUUGUUGCUAAUGACAAUAGCGACUCUCAAGUCGCCAAUGACACUACCAACUCUCUCAAACGCGUUAGAUCCUUAAAUAAGUUUUGAACCGUAUUAUUUUCUAAUAUAUUUUUUUAAAACACGUUAAAAAAAAACUCGGUUUCCAAAAUUAUUGAAAUUUGUUAUGCCUGGAAAAAUGACAUACGGCUGCUGAUAAAUGGGUGUGUUUCCGAAAAAGGAAAGGUAUUAUGUGCCCAGAAAUCAUUCAAGAAGAAAUUUGCAAGAAAUGACAAGAA
RNAcentral lists this long non-coding RNA (534 nucleotides) under Actinidia chinensis (golden kiwifruit). RNAcentral describes it as "long non-coding RNA (ACHI_LNC001772)". Lineage: Eukaryota; Viridiplantae; Streptophyta; Magnoliopsida; Ericales; Actinidiaceae. The record is from RNAcentral.